This 497-nucleotide ribosomal RNA is filed under the name uncultured bacterium. RNAcentral's name for it is "partial 16S ribosomal RNA". It matches the Rfam family "Bacterial small subunit ribosomal RNA", at positions 28 to 507 of the family's 1533-position model. The record is from RNAcentral.
GAUGAACGCUGGCGGCGUGCCUAAUACAUGCAAGUCGAGCGAACAGACGAGGAGCUUGCUCCUCUGACGUUAGCGGCGGACGGGUGAGUAACACGUGGAUAACCUACCUAUAAGACUGGGAUAACUUCGGGAAACCGGGGCUAAUACCGGAUAAUAUAUUGAACCGCAUGGUUCAAUAGUGAAAGACGGUUUUGCUGUCACUUAUAGAUGGAUCCGCGCCGCAUUAGCUAGUUGGUAAGGUAACGGCUUACCAAGGCAACGAUGCGUAGCCGACCUGAGAGGGUCAUCGGCCACCCUGGAACUGAGACACGGUCCAGACUCCUACGGGAGGCAGCAGUAGGGAAUCUUCCGCAAUGGGCGAAAGCUUGACGGAGCAACGCCGCGUGAGUGAUGAAGGUCUUCGGAUCGUAAAACUCUGUUAUUAGGGAAGAACAAAUGUGUAAGUAACUAUGCACGUCUUGACGGUACCUAAUCAGAAAGCCACGGCUAACUACGUG